Molecule: ribosomal RNA, 460 nt
Filed under: uncultured bacterium
Lineage: Bacteria
Description: partial 16S ribosomal RNA
Rfam family: Bacterial small subunit ribosomal RNA
Source: RNAcentral
CCUAUGGGUGGCAGCAGUGAGGAAUAUUGGUCAAUGGACGGAAGUCUGAACCAGCGAUGCCGCGUGCAGGAAGACGGCUCUAUGAGUUGUAAACUGCUUUUGUACAAGGGUAAACCUGAAUACGUGUAUUCAGCUGAAAGUAUUGUUAGGAUGAGGAUCGGCUCACCCAGUGCCAGUGGCCGCGGGAAUGAGGAGGAUCAAAGCGUUAUCGGGGUUUAGUGGGUUUAAGGGGUGCGUAGGCGGAUUGAUAAGUUAGGGGGCAAAUGUCCGAGCGUAACUGCGGAACUGCCUCUAAUACUGUUUAUCUAGAGAGUAGGUGCGGUAUGCGGAAUGUAUGGUGUAGCGGUUAAAUGCUUAGAGAUCAUACAGAACACCGAUUGCGAAGGCAGCUUACCAAUCUAUAUCUGACGUUGAGGCACGAAAGCGUGGGGAGCAAACAGGAUUAGAUACCCUUGUAGUC